RNAcentral lists this ribosomal RNA (460 nucleotides) under uncultured bacterium. RNAcentral describes it as "partial 16S ribosomal RNA". It matches the Rfam family "Bacterial small subunit ribosomal RNA", at positions 338 to 795 of the family's 1533-position model. The record is from RNAcentral.
CCUACGGGAGGCAGCAGUGAGGAAUAUUGGUCAAUGGCCGGAAGGCUGAACCAGCCAUGCCGCGUGAAGGUCAGUGCCCUAUGGGCGUUAAACUUCUUUUGUGCGGGAGCAAUAAUGGUCACGUGUGGCCAGACGAGAGUACCGUACGAAUAAGCAUCGGCUAACUCCGUGCCAGCAGCCGCGGUAAUACGGGGGAUGCAAGCGUUAUCCGGAUUUAUUGGGUUUAAAGGGUGCGUAGGCUGUGAGGUAAGUCAGCGGUGAAAUGCCCCCGCUCAACGGGGUGAAGUGCCAUUGAUACUGCCUGGCUGGAAUGCGGAUGCCGUGGGAGGAAUGUGUGGUGUAGCGGUGAAAUGCAUAGAUAUCACACAGAACACUGAUUGCGAAGGCAUCUCACGAAUCCGCGAUUGACGCUGAUGCACGAAAGCGUGGGUAUCAAACAGGAUUAGAUACCCUAGUAGUC